CAACACUUCAAAAACUGACUGUACAAAAACUAUUUCAAGUUUACAAACUAACAUAUUCAACAUAUACAAAUUAAAAGAAGAGAAGGAAGAAGAGAAUGAAGAAAAAGACAUGUGGACUAAGUGCACAAAAUAUAAACAUACAAUACACACACGGUAGAAGUAAACAGACACACAGACAGAAAUGACGAUGAACAUAAAAGUACAUGAGCACAGACAGGCACGCAAUUUGCAUUUUUUGAAAGAAAUAGGACUGGAAAAUAUGUCAGACUUCUCUUACAUAGAACGUUCCAGGGUUUGACAAUACNNNNNNNNNNNNNNNNNNNNGGGGGGGAAUUGGCCGAAUUGCCCUGGGCUCCACCUUAAUAGGGCCCCAACUUGAGAGCGAAAGCAUAAAAUUGAGUAGGUUCUUUAAAUCGGUCAAAGAAUUUUUGAAAUUGAGGGUCCCUUACAAUACAUCCACAUGCAGUCUAGUUAAGGUCUAGUUGGGUCUAGCUAAUUAGAAAUAGUGAUUUAAUGCCCCACAAAUUCUCUGGGCAGCCUUGGUACAAAGAAACACUGUAUGUACGAUUUAUUUCAUUUCAAAAAUUGAGAUUACAACACUUCAAAAACUGACUGUACAAAAACUAUUUCAAGUUUACAAACUAACAUAUUCAACAUAUACAAAUUAAAAGAAGAGAAGGAAGAAGAGAAUGAAGAAACUUGACAUGUGGACUAAGUGCACAAAAUACAAAUAUACAAUACACACACGGUAGAAGUAAACAGACAUGAGCACAGACAGGCACGCAAUUUGCAUUUUUUGAAAGAAAUAGGACUGGAAAAUACGUCUCUUACAUAGACUUCUCUUACAUAGAAUGUUCCAGGGUUUGACAAUACAAUCUUAAAGAAAGAAAAUUGAAAAGUACAUGUAGUUGAACAGAGGAGUUUGAAGGACAGCACUAACAACCUGACUAAGUUGUGUACAACCAUGUUCAACAAAAGAAACAGGAGUCAUAACUGUUCAUGUUAAUGUCAAUAUAGGGCCAUUCCAUUUAAUAUCCCCCCCCCCCCCCCCCUCCCAUGGAUGAGGUCAGUAAAAUUUUAACCCCUACAAAACCC
Molecule: long non-coding RNA, 1095 nt
Filed under: Paramuricea clavata
Lineage: Eukaryota; Metazoa; Cnidaria; Anthozoa; Malacalcyonacea; Plexauridae
Source: RNAcentral